GGACGGGAUCCAUCGGAGAGCUUGCUCGAGGAUGGUGAGAGUGGCGCACGGGUGCGUAACGCGUGAGCAACCUACCUCUAUCAGGGGGAUAGCCUCUCGAAAGAGAGAUUAACACCGCAUAAUAUAUCUGACCGGCAUCGGUUAGUUAUUAAAUAUUUAUAGGAUAGAGAUGGGCUCGCGUGACAUUAGCUAGUUGGUAGGGUAACGGCUUACCAAGGCGACGAUGUCUAGGGGCUCUGAGAGGAGAAUCCCCCACACUGGUACUGAGACACGGACCAGACUCCUACGGGAGGCAGCAGUAAGGAAUAUUGGUCAAUGGGCGGAAGCCUGAACCAGCCAUGCCGCGUGCAGGAUGACUGCCCUAUGGGUUGUAAACUGCUUUUGUCCAGGAAUAAACCUUUCUACGUGUAGGAAGCUGAAUGUACUGGAAGAAUAAGGAUCGGCUAACUCCGUG
RNAcentral lists this ribosomal RNA (454 nucleotides) under uncultured bacterium. RNAcentral describes it as "bacterial SSU rRNA". It matches the Rfam family "Bacterial small subunit ribosomal RNA", at positions 64 to 507 of the family's 1533-position model. The record is from RNAcentral.